CCUACGGGAGGCAGCAGUAAGGAAUAUUGGUCCAUGGGCGAGAGCCUGAACCAGCCACGUAGCGUGAAGGCUGACUGCCCUACGGGUUGUAAACUUCUUUUAUAAAGGAAUAAAGUGAGGCACGUGUGCCUUUUUGUCUGUCCUUUUUGGAUCAGGAUCUGCUAACUCCGUGCCAGCAGCCGACGUAAUACGGAGGAUCCGAGCUUUAUCCGGAUGUAUUGGGUUUACAGGGAGCGUGAAUGGGUUGGUAAGUCAGGUGUGAAAGUUUGCGGUUUAACCAUAAAAUUGCAAUUGAUACUGGAAGUCUGGAGUAUAGUUGAGGUAGGCGGAAUUCGUGGUGUAGCGGUGAAAUGCUUAGAGAUCACGAAGAACCCCGAUUGCGAAGGCAGCUUACUAAACUGUGACUGACAUUGAUGCUCGAAAGUGUGGGUAUCAAACAGGAUUAGAUACCCGAGUAGUC
RNAcentral lists this ribosomal RNA (460 nucleotides) under uncultured bacterium. RNAcentral describes it as "partial 16S ribosomal RNA". It matches the Rfam family "Bacterial small subunit ribosomal RNA", at positions 338 to 795 of the family's 1533-position model. The record is from RNAcentral.